This 253-nucleotide ribosomal RNA is filed under the name uncultured bacterium. Its description in RNAcentral is "partial 16S ribosomal RNA". It matches the Rfam family "Bacterial small subunit ribosomal RNA", at positions 524 to 776 of the family's 1533-position model. The record is from RNAcentral.
UACAUGGGGUGCAAACGUUGCUCGGAAUUAUUGGGCGUAAAGCGCGCGUAGGCGGUUACUUAAGUCGGAUGUGAAAGCCCUCGGCUUAACUGAGGAAGUGCACCCGAAACUGAGUAGCUAGAGUACGAAAGAGGGUCGCGGAAUUCCCGGUGUAGAGGUGAAAUUCGUAGAUAUCGGGAGGAACACCGGUGGCGAAGGCGGCGACCUGGGUCGAGACUGACGCUGAGACGCGAAAGCGUGGGGAGCGAACAGG